CUGGAACCAUGCGAAGUUCAACAAUUGUAAGCAUGACUGCCCCCCCUACAUGUGUAAACAGUGGAAGAAAUCAAAAGUGGAUGUGUACUGGACUGGAUAUUAUACAUGUGCAAACAGAGAAAGCAUACAAAUGCGGAGAAAUGGUAAUUGUCUAAUUAUACCAUUUAGUACUUUGAUCUUGUUUAAAUGUUUAAUAUGUUUCAGUUUGGACGUAUGAUUGAUUUUCUAGUGUUUUGAUGCACUUACAUAGAUGAUGGCACCGAUGAUCUCCAUCGUGAGAGGGAAGGUGAGGGAGUCUUCCUCCUGCAGCCGGAGAAGCACGUCAAGCAGGUCCUCGUCUUGAUGACCAGGAAAGGCAGAUGCACUCUGUUUCUCUUUGGGUUCCUGGAUGAUGCCGCUGAUUAUGUGCUGGACUUGAUCGUGGCUCCUCCUCAGAUUGCACGUGGCUCUGCU
This 453-nucleotide long non-coding RNA is filed under the name Setaria italica (foxtail millet). Its description in RNAcentral is "long non-coding RNA (SITA_LNC007088)". Lineage: Eukaryota; Viridiplantae; Streptophyta; Magnoliopsida; Poales; Poaceae. The record is from RNAcentral.